UAGAAAGCUAAAAAAUGUUGUGCUUUAUUUCAUGUGAGGUUCUUACAUAGGAAACUUGAAAACAGAAAACAUAUAUAUCGCUAUUGUUACUCCUACUCCUAAAUUAACAAAAUAAAAAUCAUCCGAAUUAUUUACAAUCCAAAAAGUUAAAAGUAAAAGUUCAUUCAAUCCUCUUCCUCCUCCUCCUCCUAAGAACCCAUCUC
This 203-nucleotide long non-coding RNA is filed under the name Gossypium raimondii (Peruvian cotton). RNAcentral describes it as "long non-coding RNA (GRAI_LNC009488)". Lineage: Eukaryota; Viridiplantae; Streptophyta; Magnoliopsida; Malvales; Malvaceae. The record is from RNAcentral.